UUUAAUUGAAGAGUUUGAUCAUGGCUCAGAUUGAACGCUGGCGGCAGGCUUAACACAUGCAAGUCGAGCGGUAGCACAAGAGAGCUUGCUCUCUGGGUGACGAGCGGCGGACGGGUGAGUAAUGUCUGGGAAACUGCCUGAUGGAGGGGGAUAACUACUGGAAACGGUAGCUAAUACCGCAUAACGUCGCAAGACCAAAGAGGGGGACCUUCGGGCCUCUUGCCAUCAGAUGUGCCCAGAUGGGAUUAGCUAGUAGGUGGGGUAAUGGCUCACCUAGGCGACGAUCCUAGCUGGUCUGAGAGGAUGACCAGCCACACUGGAACUGAGACACGGUCCAGACUCCUACGGGAGGCAGCAGUGGGGAAUAUUGCACAAUGGGCGCAAGCCUGAUGCAGCCAUGCCGCGUGUGUGAAGAAGGCCUUCGGGUUGUAAAGCACUUUCAGCGAGGAGGAAGGUGGUGAACUUAAUACGUUCAUCAAUUGACGUUACUCGCAGAAGAAGCACCGGCUAACUCCGUGCCAGCAGCCGCGGUAAUACGGAGGUGCAAGCGUUAAUCGGAAUUACUGGGCGUAAAGCGCACGCAGGCGGUUUGUUAAGUCAGAUGUGAAAUCCCGGGCUCAACCUGGGAACUGCAUUUGAAACUGGCAAGCUAGAGUCUCGUAGAGGGGGGUAGAAUUCCAGGUGUAGCGGUGAAAUGCGUAGAGAUCUGGAGGAAUACCGGUGGCGAAGGCGGCCCCCUGGACGAAGACUGACGCUCAGGUGCGAAAGCGUGGGGAGCAAACAGGAUUAGAUACCCUGGUAGUCCACGCUGUAAACGAUGUCGAUUUGGAGGUUGUGCCCUUGAGGCGUGGCUUCCGGAGCUAACGCGUUAAAUCGACCGCCUGGGGAGUACGGCCGCAAGGUUAAAACUCAAAUGAAUUGACGGGGGCCCGCACAAGCGGUGGAGCAUGUGGUUUAAUUCGAUGCAACGCGAAGAACCUUACCUACUCUUGACAUCCAGAGAACUUAGCAGAGAUGCUUUGGUGCCUUCGGGAACUCUGAGACAGGUGCUGCAUGGCUGUCGUCAGCUCGUGUUGUGAAAUGUUGGGUUAAGUCCCGCAACGAGCGCAACCCUUAUCCUUUGUUGCCAGCGGUUCGGCCGGGAACUCAAAGGAGACUGCCAGUGAUAAACUGGAGGAAGGUGGGGAUGACGUCAAGUCAUCAUGGCCCUUACGAGUAGGGCUACACGUGCUACAAUGGCAUAUACAAAGAGAAGCGACCUCGCGAGAGCAAGCGGACCUCAUAAAGUAUGUCGUAGUCCGGAUUGGAGUCUGCAACUCGACUCCAUGAAGUCGGAAUCGCUAGUAAUCGUAGAUCAGAAUGCUACGGUGAAUACGUUCCCGGGCCUUGUACACACCGCCCGUCACACCAUGGGAGUGGGUUGCAAAAGAAGUAGGUAGCUUAACCUUCGGGAGGGCGCUUACCACUUUGUGAUUCAUGACUGGGGUGAAGUCGUAACAAGGUAACCGUAGGGGAACCUGCGGUUGGAUCACCUCCUUACCUAAAGA
This 1547-nucleotide ribosomal RNA is filed under the name Serratia marcescens. RNAcentral describes it as "bacterial SSU rRNA". It matches the Rfam family "Bacterial small subunit ribosomal RNA". Lineage: Bacteria; Pseudomonadati; Pseudomonadota; Gammaproteobacteria; Enterobacterales; Yersiniaceae. The record is from RNAcentral.